UCCUUCCUUCCUUCCUUCCUUCCUUCCUUCCUUCCUUCCUUCCUUCCUUCCUUCCUUCCUUCCUUCCUUCCUUCCUUCCUUCCUUCCUUCCUUCCUUCCUUCCUUCCUUCCUUCCUUCCUUCCCUCCUUCCCUCCUUCCCUCCUUCCCUCCUUCCCUCCUUCCCUCCUUCCCUCCUUCCCUCCUUCCCUCCUCCCUCCCUUCCUCAAAUGUCUUGUGAAGUGCAGUGCCAGUCUGUGAAUAACUGUAUGAGCGGAAAAGGUUUUACAUUAGUUCCUUCCCUUUGUUCUCUCUCUUCCUUCCCUAUUCUUAGCUUUUCUAGCUGGAUUUUUUCUUUAUUUUAUUACCUAUAGUACCCUGUAGAUAUGUUUUUCUGUUGUAUAUGGGUUUUUUUCUUUAACAGAUAUCAUUAUCAUGUAGUUCAAUUCAAUUAAAUUUUAUUCUCUGAGUAUUUUUUUUUCAUUCUAACUGGUGAAACUCGAAUUGAUACAGGAGUAAGUUUUAACCAUUCCCUUUCCCCUUUUCUCCCUGUGAAUUAUGCUGGAGUACAAAAGGAAUGGCAAAAUUUAGUUAUGGGUUUGUUUUUGGUUUUGUUUUGGUUUUUUGUUUUUUUGGGGGUUUUUUGGUUUUUUGGGUUUUUUUUUUUUUUUCUUUUUCUUUUUUUUUUUUUUUCUUUCAGGGACCACUACAAACAGAAGAGAAGUGCUCAAGUUGGUAUUCAGAGUGAUGACUCAGUCUAAUGGAAAAUCUAGUUGAUGUUAUGCUCUUCUCCAAGGAUUGCACAUAUGGAGCUUGUAGAUGUUUUGCUGUGUGUUCGUAUUAACAUCAUGAAUCACCUGUUGUGGGGCCUACUAAAAAUUAAUAUAACUUAAAAAAUAUAUAUUUAUUGCCUUUGGAAAGGGCUGAUAGGAAGAAUCCAAUAUUAUGAAGUGUCUGAAGUGCUUAAGCAUUGCAUUCUGGAUUGCAAUUGUGUUCCUAAAAUGAUGUGUUUGAUAUAUUAGCCAAAUUUUAUAUGUACUUGCAAGGAUUAUCAAAGCUAUUUAAUUAAGUAACUAAAAAAAUAGCAUUGUUGAUUUGAUUUAAAAUUUCUCCUGCUUGAGAAAAUAUAUCAUUUUUAUGUAGUAUCCGUUAUGAAUGAAAUGCAACUUCCAGCUCCUUUUUCUCAAUUCCUACAUAUACAUUUUCCUUUAUAACAAACAAACAGUUAUAAAGCUCUGAGAGCCCACAGCUGUUUGUGUUAGGUGGAGAAAACAUGCCUCUUUUUGCUCCUACAGAAAAAAAAAAAUGUCAGGUUCAAUGUGCUGAUAAAUGUAAAAGUGGUAAUAUUCCAAGGUGGGGUUAUGACAGAGGCAGCUUGUUAAACAUAUCAAAGCAUACCCCAGAUAACAGCUGAAUUAAGCUGCAUUGAUUCUAGUUGAAAUUAUACCUUCUAUACAUGAAAUUUAGCUCCACUAGUACAUACCCCACCCAAACAUUUGUUUGUUUUCUAAAACUUGGAGUAGUGAUGCAUAUGGAAAAAAGCUAAAGAGUUUCAUAUGUUCAGAAAUUGUGCAGAACAAUUAAACAAGAUUCCAUUCAGAUUUAGCUGUUGUGACAAGUAAGAGAACAAAAUGUGAACUGCGUGCAAAAUAUUAUUCCCCUUUUGUGAACAGCAUUCAGGAUUUUUUGGCUUGCAGGCUGAACAAGUGACAUGGUUAGUUGAGUGACACCUCACUUCCAGCUAAUUCUUGGCAUCAAACUUAGUCUUGUACAGCUGCACUGACUGAUAUGAGCUCUACCAUGGGAUAUGGUGCUGUUAGAUCAGUGCUUUGGAGAAUCCUAUAAAAGCCUUGCAUUCCGAGCUAGAAGAUAAAAUGAAGUGGGUUUCUUACAUUUUGGUUUUGGUUUUUUUAAGCCUCAAGAGGUCAUAUCUCAUUAAAAUCAAUGGAAAUUUAACAUUAAAUUCAACGUCAGUUUUUAUUCUCAAAUGAGAAUUUAUGCACUUGUGGGACUUUUCAUGGGUUCUACUGGGACAAUGCAUUUGAGAAACUAAACACUCCCUCAGUUUUAAAGAGUCUCUGAACACAUCAAGCAUGAUGAGGUAAAGGAAAGUUUUGAGAUUUAUGUGGAUUACUGAAGUAAUGGUUAGGAUGGGAGGAGAGGCAGCUCUUCAGUGUUGGUUCUGUCUGGGAUGGAGUUAAUUUUCUUAGUAGCUGGCAUGGGACUCUGCUUUGUAUUUGUGUUGGAAACAGUGUUGAUACUGUGUUUGCACUCUUGCUGAGCAGGGCUGGCAGAGCACCAAGGCCUUUUCUGCCUCUCAUCCCAACCCAGCAGCAAGUGGGCUGGGGAUGCAGAGGAAGCUGGGAGAGACUAACUGGGACAACUGACCCCAAGUGACCCAAGGGAUGCUUCAUGCCGUAUGGCCUCAUGCUCAGUAUAUAAACCUGCAGAAGGAGAAAAGGGCGGAUCUUUGGAGUGACGGUUUCUGUCUGCCUGAGUCACCUUUCUGCAGGCAGCUGAACACCUGCCUGCUGAUGGGAAGUGGUGAGUGAAUUCCUUGCUCUGCUUUGCUUGUGCAUGCCGUUUUUGCUUUGCCUAUCUCAAGACAUGAAUUUUGCUUUAUCUCAAUACAUGAAUUAUCUCAUUUUUGCUCUUCCAAUUCUCUCCCCCAUCCCACCUGGGCACAGUGAACAAACAGCUGCAUGAGACUCAGUUGCCAGCUGGAGUUAAACCACGACAGUCACCUCUCCACCCCUUGUUCAGGGACUCCUUUUGAUUUGGCAGUUUCAGGCAGAGGCAUUAGUGUGCCCCAGCCAGUGGCUUCCCAGCAGUGCCAUGAGGAUUGCAGAAGCCUUCCUGCAGCACUCGCUGUAACUCUGUCCAGCUUCCCUAACUCGAGGACUUCUUUUGGCACUGCUGCACAAGAGCUAUCAACUAAGACUACAAAAAUCCAGAUUGCACUGGCCACUGAUGGAAAAUUUUUCAGACUGACAGAAGAACUGAAAAUAAAAGUGCUUCCACGGUGAGGGAUGAAAACAGUCAUGGGAUCAUAAUCAAGUUGUAUCCCUGUGAAUAACUGUUUUGUUAGGCCUGUACUAACAUAGAUGAAGGCAGAAUUUAUGUACGCUCCUUGUGAAAACAUACACUGCUGUCAACUAGUCUUUUAGUUUCUGUCUGACAUUAAAAUCUGUAAUUCUUUUUAAAAGAAAACAUAAGUGAACAGGAAAACAGCUUAGAAAUUUAAAGAACUUGCAGCAUGUAAUAAUUUUAAACAAAAGUCUGACUGCCAUUUAAGAUGUACUAAAUGUAUGUUAUUCUUUAUAUGCCAUGGGAACUACAACUCUUGAAAUUCUUGAAGUCUCCAAAAACCUUAAUCUGUACAAAAAAAAAGAAGAAAAAAUUAAAACUGUUCUAGUGUCUGUCAAUAUGCACUUUACUUACAGUGGUAUAUAAAACAAAGCAGUUUCCUAAGAACCAGUAGUAUAACUCGUCUGCAUAAACCAGUGACACUGAUUCUUGUUCUGAGAACUCAAGAGUUCCUUUUAAUUAUCCAUCAGAUCAAGAGAAAUUAUCUCUCUCUAUGAAUUUAACAUUUGAUUUCUGGAAGCCAAUACUUUUAGAGUUUGCUUUUAGAGCAAUACAUUUAGCGGCAACAACUAGGUAACAGAGAUCCACAUCCAAAUACAAUAUGCAUAAAAGUGAUUCCAGGUCAUGCAGCAUGAUAAGGCAUCAUUUCCAUCAGAAAAGUUUG
Long non-coding RNA from Prinia subflava (tawny-flanked prinia), 3728 nucleotides. RefSeq lists it as uncharacterized. The transcript is spliced from 3 exons. The record is from RefSeq and is a predicted model, not a curated record. Lineage: Eukaryota; Metazoa; Chordata; Aves; Passeriformes; Cisticolidae.